AAAGUGGUUUUCCUAGGGUGAGGCUCAUCCAUUGCACUUCAGGUGUGCUGAUCCCUGUGAUUUCCCCAAAUGUGGGGAACUCAACUGCAUAACGUGUGGUGAUGGAGAAUUGCAUUUGUGCUUUCUCUG
RNAcentral lists this small nuclear RNA (129 nucleotides) under Pogona vitticeps (central bearded dragon). RNAcentral describes it as "U1 spliceosomal RNA (ENSPVIG00000016588.1)". It matches the Rfam family "U1 spliceosomal RNA", at positions 35 to 166 of the family's 166-position model. From Rfam's summary of the family: U1 is a small nuclear RNA (snRNA) component of the spliceosome (involved in pre-mRNA splicing). Its 5' end forms complementary base pairs with the 5' splice junction, thus defining the 5' donor site of an intron. The record is from RNAcentral. Lineage: Eukaryota; Metazoa; Chordata; Lepidosauria; Squamata; Agamidae.